Molecule: long non-coding RNA, 765 nt
Filed under: Homo sapiens (human)
Lineage: Eukaryota; Metazoa; Chordata; Mammalia; Primates; Hominidae
Description: HSALNT0129507
Source: RNAcentral
UGCAAUCUCCACCUGCCUGGUUUAAUGAGCUCCAGUGCUGUGAAUCUCUGCUUAAAGCACCAUAUGACAUUCACCUGUAAUCCCAGCACUUCGAAAGGCCAAGGCGGGAGGAUCAAUUGAGCAGCCUGGGCAACAUAGGGAGACCUCAUCUCUACAAAAAAUAAAAAUAAAUUAGCCAGGUAUGGUGGUGCAUGCCUGGGGUCCCAGCCACUACUCAGGUGGUUGAGUUGAGAGGAUUGCUUGAGCCAGGGAAUUUGAGGCUGCAGCGAGUGGUGAUCACACCACUGCACUCCAGCCUGGGUGACAGAGUGAGACCCUCUCUCUAAAAAAAAAAAAAAAAAAAUCCACCAUGUUACACUCAUCAUCUCCAUGUGAGCAGUUCCUUCUAUCAGUAGAUUGCUGGUCACAGGCCACAGUGAUCUUUUGUGGCUUUCAUGUAUAUUUCAUCAUGUUUAGUGCAAUCCCAUAAACCUUGAAUAACACGAUGGGACCCAUAUGGAGUGCCACUACUGAUGCUGGAAAUGCUCCCAAGAAGCAGAAAAAAGUCAUGACAUUACAAGAAAAAGUUGCAUUGCUUGAUAUGCACUGUAGAUUGAGGUCUGAGGUCUGCAGCUGUGGUUGCCCCGACUUCAGACAGAUGAUUUGUCGUGUAAACAGACCAUGUAAACUUACAGCGUCAAUAAAUACAUUUCAGUACUGUAAAUGUAUUUUCUUUUCCUUACGAUUUUCUAAAUAACAAUCUCUUUUCUUUAGCUUACUUUGUUG